RNAcentral lists this ribosomal RNA (501 nucleotides) under uncultured bacterium. RNAcentral's name for it is "bacterial SSU rRNA". It matches the Rfam family "Bacterial small subunit ribosomal RNA", at positions 1 to 509 of the family's 1533-position model. The record is from RNAcentral.
UAGAGUUUGAUCCUGGCUCAGGACGAACGCUGGCGGCGUGCUUAACACAUGCAAGUCGAACGGAAAGGCCCUGCUUUUGUGGGGUGCUCGAGUGGCGAACGGGUGAGUAACACGUGAGUAACCUGCCCUUGACUUUGGGAUAACUUCAGGAAACUGGGGCUAAUACCGGAUAGGAGCUCCUGCUGCAUGGUGGGGGUUGGAAAGUUUCGGCGGUUGGGGAUGGACUCGCGGCUUAUCAGCUUGUUGGUGGGGUAGUGGCUUACCAAGGCUUUGACGGGUAGCCGGCCUGAGAGGGUGACCGGCCACAUUGGGACUGAGAUACGGACCAGACUCCUACGGGAGGCAGCAGUGGGGAAUAUUGCACAAUGGGCGGAAGCCUGAUGCAGCAACGCCCGCGUGCCGGGAUGACGGCCUUCGGGUUGUAAACCCGCUUUCGCCUUGUGACGAAACCGUGAGGUGACGGUAAAUGGGGUAAAAGAAGCACCCGGCUAACUACGUGCC